Long non-coding RNA from Haliotis rubra (blacklip abalone), 653 nucleotides. RefSeq lists it as uncharacterized. NCBI's taxonomy places the organism in Eukaryota, Metazoa, Mollusca, Gastropoda, Lepetellida, Haliotidae. The transcript has 5 exons. The record is from RefSeq and is a predicted model, not a curated record.
UUCAGGUUGUGCUGCCAAAUAUAAUGCACCAGUAACACUACUGGCGACACAUUACCAAGUACGGAUAUUAUAAUUUCACUUGUGAACAGGAAUUAAGACCUUCUGGUUUACUGCAAGCUAAAUAAUGUUUUCAGAUCCAUAUGACAAAGGCGAGCCUCCAAUCGUUAUAAACAACCCGUUAACCAACCCAAACGACGUUUCUGUUGAUUGCUGGAGUGGGUGCCCUGGUAUGACCACUGAUUCCACUCACAGACUGUACGAAGAAACAUUGGUCAAGCUAAAUAUAUAAGAACGAUGGUUCGGGCGAUGUCGGCACAGUUAAACUGAUAGAUCAGCUCUCCUGUCUAAUCAGCGGACUGCUUGAAGUGGAAUACGUUACCUCUAGGCGAGGUACACAACAGACCAGCCAGCUUCAUCGAAGAGAAGGACUCUAAAAGGUGUUUUUCCUUCUCAACAAACUGCUCAUAAACUCGGUGUAGCGGACGUUAAGUGAGCCUUCCCUAGCCAAAGUGAGCCUCUACAGUUUCGAUAUGAAAAUUAGCCUGGUUGACAGCCACUUCUGUAAAGUCCAGGAGUAUAGAACACCUACAUGGUAAUAUAGAACAAACUUUAUGGAUAACAACAUGUCACGUCCAAUGUGUGUGUGUGUGUGU